GUGAACUUUGGGUCUGAUCUCGAUUCGGCGCCCAGCACUUUGUGGAGCUGCUCAGGCGAGAUGGCCUGGCCGGAGGCUGCUGGCCUCCCCCAUGGACAACGAAAUGUGUCGGCUUGAGCAGCUGGUUGAGCUGCCAGCUGGGCCCCUGAGAGGCAGCCUCAUUUCAUUGCCUACUUGAGUUCCCAGGGGACUUGCAACAGCAUUGGAUCCACCUGGAUGACGCAAAUGAACAAGGAGCAGGAGAUUGCAAGCUCUCACGGUGGUGGAGGAAGUGAAUAUUCGAGACGUGAACACCUUUUCCAGCUAUUAAUAUCAGAGACAUAAUAGAGGUGGACAGCACUUCGUCCUGAACGGUCCAACAUAAAUACCUUUCCACACCACAGGAAUGCCAGAUGCAACCUAUUCUGCCCAGCCCGGCUCAGAAGGGAGAAACGGCUCGAAAGAGGCAUCAUCCUGCCUGCACUUUAUGUGUCUGAAUACUUAAGGACUCAGGCAGUCGUUUCCUUGCACUCCUUGUAUUCGUGCAAGACGGCCGAAAGGAUGUCGAGAAAGGGGAGCUCAUUGCUUGCCACUUCCCGAAGCAAAUGCCCUCCUCUCCCGCGUGAGGACUUACUCGCGAAGGAGCAAGGCCUGCUUUGUCCCCAGCCAGACCCUAGAUGCAAGCAUCUCUGGGCUUCAGUGGAAGAAAGCAGAAGCGGGAUUGAAUGAGUACAUAGGAAGGGAUCACAAGGGAUCGUGUUGGAGUGCAGAUCGGGGCAAAAUGGACUGGUGUGCUUUCAUUUAGCAAAGGAAAAGUUUAAACGUUCCUCUUCCAUCACGCUGCUUCUCCAUUCGUUUUUGCUUGUUCUGCCCUGCAUGUGCGGCUGUCCAGAAGGCUUUCUGCAAGCACACAGAAACUAGAAAGGCCUACUAGAGAGUCCACUGCAGAGGCAAAU
This 935-nucleotide long non-coding RNA is filed under the name Crocodylus porosus (Australian saltwater crocodile). RNAcentral's name for it is "lncRNA (ENSCPRG00005007716.1)". The record is from RNAcentral. Lineage: Eukaryota; Metazoa; Chordata; Crocodylia; Crocodylidae.